Molecule: long non-coding RNA, 618 nt
Filed under: Amborella trichopoda
Lineage: Eukaryota; Viridiplantae; Streptophyta; Magnoliopsida; Amborellales; Amborellaceae
Description: long non-coding RNA (ATRI_LNC003911)
Source: RNAcentral
CAGCAGUAAGGGAGAGCUGAGCUCACCACUCAAACUUGGUUGAAGGCUACCAACCUCCUACCAUAAGCAAGCCAACUUGCUGGGUCGAAGAGCUGAGCUUACUCAUCAAGGGGCUCACGAAGGGGCCCAACGAAAGGUCCUUACUUAAAUAAGCAAGUGAAUUCUACUGAACUGAGCUACUCAAGGUAUUACGUUUCUUUUAGUAUUAGUACAAAGUCCGUGUUACUUUAAUAGUAGACCGCCCGGCUCCUGUUGGUCUAACUAUUACACCGAAAUGGAACUACCAAUGAUGGGGAAUCCAGGGGCUUGGUUGUCCUCUAAGUCCAUUGUAAGAGAUAGGAGCGCCUAUGAUGAUCCUAGGUGGUUACUAUGAUUCUUUACAGCUCCUGUAGGUUAGUUACUAUGGCCAUGCACGGAACUGAACAUGACUCGUAGCGAUGAAGAAAGCCGCCCAGUUGAACGUUAUACCUAACUUCUAUGGGGACUCCUUUUGGCCCUCCCUUAGAAAGGGACUGACUCCAACGAGUUGGUCGCCAAUCUUUGACCUUGCCGAACGAAAUCGUAACUUCUUGGUCAGUUAGCAGUGGGCCAUCAUAGGUGCAUGCAAUAGGAUCCGAC